This 741-nucleotide ribosomal RNA is filed under the name Quadriacanthus kobiensis. RNAcentral describes it as "eukaryotic LSU rRNA". It matches the Rfam family "Eukaryotic large subunit ribosomal RNA", at positions 71 to 628 of the family's 3401-position model. Lineage: Eukaryota; Metazoa; Platyhelminthes; Monogenea; Dactylogyridea; Ancylodiscoididae. The record is from RNAcentral.
AGGAUUCUCCUAUGUAACGGCGAGUGAACGGAGAUUAGCCCAGCACCGAAGCCUAUCCGCGUUUGUGGAAAGGGCAAUGUGGUGUUCAGGCUUGAACCUGGGGAUGCUCGUCUAUUCGAAGUCCAACUCCGAUUAUGGCUUUGGAUUUGUCCCAUAGAGGGUGAAAGGCCCGUUCGAAUAGACAUACUGGUUUUUGAGUGUCCCUCAGAUGUUCAGGCUUUCGAGUCGGAUUGCUUGAGAAUGCAGUCCAAAGUGGGUGGUAAACUCCAUCCAAGGCUAAAUACUGGCACGAGUCCGAUAGUAGACAAGUACCGUGAGGGAAAGUUGAAAAGUACUCUGAAGAGAGAGUAAAUAGUACGUGAAACCGAUUGUAUGGAAGCUGGUGGAGUCAAGCUUCUAGCUCAGGUGAUUGACGUGGGGACAUGUCUUGGUUAAAGGAGGAAGGAGAGGUUAGCUUGGAAAGAGCUGGUUGGUUCGCCAAUUCAAGCAGUCCGGGUAGUGUUGCUUUGUGCCUCUUCUAAACUCUGGUCUCCGCGUUAUUUGCCUGUGGCUAACACCACAGUCAAUGCGUAUGUGGUGUCUCAUAGUCAUACUGCGUUACAGGGAGUUUCGGCUUUCUGGGCGUGGGACGGCAGGUGGUAGUUAGUGUGGCUUGCUGCACUGGCUGCUUAUUACUGGUAUCUUUGAUACCUGCCGAUUGUGAGACAAAUAAGACCAUCAUGUGCAUUGUUUUUAUACCGA